CGGGUUUGACCUUUACAGGGAACCCCGUUCGUCUGAGGUCGGACGGCCCAUCGCCGACUGUUGCUGAGGGUACCAGGCUCCUGGGCUCGUGGAUGGGUAGUAGGUUACCUUCGUACCAGCCCUGUGGGAUACCUUUCGCUGACCUGAUGUGGGCUUUGGAGCACGGGGUAGAGGAGUCGCCUUCGAGACAGGCUCGGCUGUUCUACCUCCAUUUUAUUACUUCCACUUUUCUAUCGGGUCCGACUGACACCUUUGACCCGAGGUGGAUAGGCAUGGUGGAGGACGUGUCUACACUGGGUGACUAUCGCUGGGGCAAUUUGGGCUAUGCGACGCUUGUCGGCCAGAUGAGUUUGUCGGUGCGCGUCUCGGACCCGAGUAUACGUCACUUUGUGAUUACAUUAGCGGGAGUGCCGCGUUUGAUCGAGCUGUGGGCCUUUGAGCACUUACCCUGGCUGGCUCCCCGAAAGGGGCAGAGGCCUUUGGAGUUCCAUGCCGGUCGCCGUUGGGGUUGGAAGAAGAAGCUGACAGUGCUUCCGCCGCCCGAUACCGUGUGGGAUCUUAUCCGGGACGGGAACCCUGAGCAUGUACAGAAUCUUAUCCUCUAUCUCGUAUUUCGUCAUUCUUUUCAUGUGCGAGAUCUGACUGCGUUUUGUACGAAAACAGGUGGUUUGGACCCCAUGGCUCUCUUUUAGGGGUACCCAUGCUUCGGUCAGGGAGAGUUAUGCCCUGAGCCAGAUGCGGGUCUUGUUCAUUGGCCGCCGGGACCCUGUCUGGUACCUGGGAGAGCGGGUACGUAUGCAGACGGUCGGGGUUUUUUCGUUGCCCAGGCCUCCGCCUGCGACCAUGCUGUCUACUCGCUCGAUAGGCGAGUCGUGGAGGGUCCACUCGAGGACUGGUGUGCCGGCGACAGAGUUGGUGAUAAAGGGAGCUAGCUAUUACCAGUUUAUCCAGGAUUCUCUUCGUCUCCCGGAGCCUGGCGCUGAGGGUCCUGACCCUUUGUUGGGGGGAUGGGUGCUUCCCGAUGCUCGGAUCUCGUAUACCGGAGAGAGUGGAUCUGAGAUUGUGGAGACUUUCCCGGAAGACCGCAUGCUCCGCUCCCUGAGGGAGUAGAGGCGGUUCCGGCCCGUACGACCAAUGCGAUGGUGGGGGUGAUCAACCGGUUGAAGUCCGCGUUGGUUCGAGCUCGGUCUGCACUUUCUUGCAGGAGCCCCCACUCUACUCGGACGGCUACUGGGCGUGCUGGGGCCGAUGACGCGGGUCCCUCGGGCGGGGGACACGGUUGUCGCGAGAGAGAGAGAGCACAGCACUCGCCCCUACGGCAUCGCCGUUCUGACGCGGGGGUAAGUUCUUCCGGGGAGAGGUCCGAGCCGGAGCGUAGGCGGCGUUUCGUGUCGGUGGCCCGAGAGCCUAGCCCCGAGUUGCAGUCGCAACCCCAUUUUUGGGGUGACUCUGGCUGGGGUCCCUCAUACCACGGGGAGUGGAGUGGAUGGACCUACGAGGCUUGGAGACAUGGAGCCGAUGACGAGUCUUAGGCUUACCUCCUGUUUUAUACAUAUUCAUUCUUGUGUUCCGCAUGUAUAUAUAUA
Spinacia oleracea (spinach) is the source of this 1586-nucleotide long non-coding RNA. RefSeq lists it as uncharacterized. The record is from RefSeq and is a predicted model, not a curated record. NCBI's taxonomy places the organism in Eukaryota, Viridiplantae, Streptophyta, Magnoliopsida, Caryophyllales, Amaranthaceae. The transcript has 5 exons.